Molecule: long non-coding RNA, 1423 nt
Organism: Episyrphus balteatus (marmalade hoverfly)
Lineage: Eukaryota; Metazoa; Arthropoda; Insecta; Diptera; Syrphidae
Exons: 2
Source: RefSeq, a predicted model, not a curated record
ACCAUUGCUGUUGGCAUCGUUUUUUUUACAAAUCAGAAAUAAUGGCUGAUGUUGAAAGUGUUCAGUAGCAGAGCAGCCAUAUGGAAUUAGAGUCACUUCCACUAACCUAUCACAACCUCACAACUACAACCUAUACUUCCAGAUAUCAAGCUGCUCGGAAGAUGGAGUUGCACUGAUGUAACCCCAAGCGUGAGAUGUUGGUAAAGCAUUUUGAGAGUCAUCAAACUAAGACAACAGACUUAAUAGCAACAAACAACGCAAGUUACCCAAAUUAUCACCUAACGACAGCAACAUCAGCGGUAGCAACAAGAAAUGCAACAAGCUCAGGCCCACGUCAACAAUUGAAGAGGGUCUCAGUGAGUCAUCUGAGGCUAAAACAAUUCGAAUCUUCACAUACCAUACAUGUUCGCUGACCUUCACCCAAGAGAACUAAUACAACUCACAACUCACUGUACACAUGAUCAUAAAUAAUAUUAUUUUGUGUACCUUGAUGUGAACCAAAACAAAACAUUAGUCGCAAACACAAAAAAAAAAAAACCCUCUUCAGCGUCUCUAAAUCAAUUGUUUCAAGCGCGGGUGUAAGCACAACAUCGCCCGUAUCAUCGACGAGUGCAACCCGGAACUUGAUUCGUGGCGAAGUCAAGGAUACAAGUGAAUCCAGCGGCAUGGUAAUAAGCUGUAAUUCAAACAACACAGCAUCAAUAUUUGAAACAGACAUUGAGAGCUGAGAGCUAAGAAUGAUACAGGAGGCAAUGGACCAGCUUCUUGUGGAGGAUGAGAUGGAGCAGGAGGUGAUAAUCUGUUAAUCACAAGUCAGGAGAACCAAACCAGAUUCCACAACCAAAUUCUGCUGAAGCAGGUAUGAGUGCCAAACAACAUCAACAGCAACAAAAAUUUCUUGUGCAAGACAUCAAACAGAUUCAACAGCUCUUGGAGAGUGUUGGAGUAUUGCAGACCAGCAAAAUGGCCUUAGAUGGAGCGACACUUCAAAUGAUUGGAGACAACAAUCAAAUGGUGACUGUAAAACAAGGCGAUAAUCCAGCAGGGUCACGGAGAUCAUGUUCUUGGUGACCUCGGUGUUUGAAUUACCAUGUCCGUUUCAUAUACCUACUACUGAUGAACAGCCUAUUGAUUAAAUGGAAUGGAAAUUGAAGGUAUCGUCUUUGCAACGACAGCUGUUGGUGAAACAGCGUUAGAAGUCAUCUGAUUUGACAAAUUCAUACUGUUUUGAUAUCUAAAAUUUAAAAAGUAGCGAUUUUUUUUCAUUGGAAUUCGUUGUAGAUCGAACUUUUGGUUCUUUGCAAUUAUACAUAGAUAUAUUAGAGGAAAACUUUCAAAUUGUAUAGUUUAAGUUCUUUAUUGUUACGGUGAUUCAGUUUUUAAUUAUUUAAAUAUACAUAAAAUUCAUUGUGAAUACAUUUAA